CUUUCAGCGCAGAGUCGCGAGUCGACGCGACCAGCGACACUGGAGGAGUCGCUGGAGGAAGAGUCACGUGACGCUGCGAGGCCACGCCCCCAUAGAAAUCACCAUGGUGACCAGCUGAGAGAGUUCAGAUUCAGGAGAAAGGUACUUCAAGAGAUUUGUAAGGAUAUUGCUGAAGUUGUCGACAAAUCAGCCACAGCUUAUGAUGCGAAAGUGGAUGCUCAGACCAAAACAUCCAUGAUAAAGGAGAAGAGAGAGCCUCCAUGGAGAACGGGAAAAGAACCAGACGCAGACAGGAGAUGAAGGAGCAGAGGAAGGCAGAUGGUGGAGAAGAGACACCUGACUCUCUGAAGAAGGCUUUCCAGCAGAUUCAAGAAAUGACUGGAGAAGAGCAUUUGGGGAAGCUGCUUACAAGAUUCAUUCAGGAAUGCAGAAGCUGAGAGUCUGAGAGAGGAGAUCCAACAGACAUGACUAUGAGGCAGAGGACACUUCUCUGAUAGAUGAGGUGGAUCGACCUUUGACCCAUGAAGAACUCUGUCAGUACAUUAUGAUGAAGAGUGACCAGCAUGAAGAUGAAUCUCUGAGUGAAAACCCCUGACAGCAGCACCUCGCUGGAGGCUUAAGACACAAUCUGCUCUUCUGGUUAUUAUUUUAUUCUGUGCUCAGUCUCUAAUGCUUGAAGGAUUUGUGUCUCUUUGAAAUAAAUAACAAUUCCUCAAUUCCUGUUUCCUUUAAAGAUCUCAAAAUUGCAUAUGGCAGAGGAAUUCACACAGAUUUUUAGCCUGGAGAUUCUCUAACAGUAGUGUAUUAUGUUCUAUUUUCUGCAGCUCAUGGUCUAGUACAUGUCUUUUAGUUAUAUUCUGUGCAGUGUGUGUGUUCAACUGUUUCUGGGUCAUUACAUUGAGGUUUAGCUGUCUCGAAACUCGACCCCUUGUUGCAAAAAGUUUUGUGGGCCACUGGGUUACCAUGGAAACUCCCCCAUUUUUUUUAUCACAGCCAAAGGUCAUUUUCUCAUACUAGCAACAGCUUGCUCUCACCCACUCACAAGGACCGCCCACACUGCAAAAAUCGGCCAAUCAGUAAUCACGCUGACCAAAAACGAAAACAGUGACUGCUUUAUUAUCAUGCCAUCUUAUCUCAUCGUUCCUCUCGUUUUUCUUCUCUCUUCUCUUUUCAAAACUAGAAUGUAAGCCGUUAGUAAUGUUUGCAAAUACACUGCGAUUACUGAUUUUUGAAUUUAUCGACUAAAAUCUAAAUUGAUUCUUUCAUUCAACAAAGUCACAUUCAACUGAUGAAAAGUGACAGUAAAUACAUUUAUAAUGUUACAAAGGAUGUCUGUUUCAAAUAAAUGCUUUUAAUUUAACUUUCUGUUAAGCAAAGUAUUGUCAAAAAAAAAAUCUAUUGUGGAUUCCACACACAAAAAAAUUAAGCAGAAAAAAAACUUUUCUACAUUGAUAAUAAUUAUUAAUCAUUACUAACAAUUGAGCACCAGUAGUAACUGAUAAUAACUGAGCAGGAUAUCAGCAUAUUAGAAUGAUUUCUGAAAGCUAA
Molecule: long non-coding RNA, 1548 nt
Organism: Carassius gibelio (silver crucian carp)
Lineage: Eukaryota; Metazoa; Chordata; Actinopteri; Cypriniformes; Cyprinidae
Exons: 7
Source: RefSeq, a predicted model, not a curated record